GAAAAGCACUCUGGAGAGAGAGUCAAAAGACCGUGAAACCGCUCAGAGUAUAAGCCCAUGGCAGCUUGGAAGGCAUAUCGAAAGCGGGGCAUCGGUCUGCCUUCGCGGGGAGUCGGUGUUACCUUGCUUCUGUUGUGGCUCGUCAUGGUAGGGGGGUCAGGUCCACAUCCCGCCGUCGUGUGGGGGGUUCUCGGGUGUGUUGUGGUUUCUCGGUUGGCUUCGGCUGGCCGGGGGGCCCUUCGUGCUUGGUUCCUCUUUGGACACGGACGUUCAGACUCAGAAGCAAGACGCGAUAAACAGCCCACCACGGCACGUUGUGAGGUCACCCACAGGCUCGACUUUCGAUCGUGAACCUUGACGCCGAGCAAGCACAAUGCGUGUCGCUUAUGUUCCUAACCGGGCAACGCUGCCAGGACCGUGGAACGACACGCGCUCAACAGUCAGGUUCGGGCGGAGACAGAGUUCUGGUAUGAUCCUCUUGCGACGAGCCGGCUUCUGGCCAACAUCCGAUGCUCAGGUCUCCCGCAUGUGCCGCGGGAGAUCGCCUUGACGGUCUGGAUCUUUCACGAGUCCUCUCAGUCGGGCAACGGAUAGAGUGGUGUAAAGUCCAAGCCCAUCGGUCACGUCUCGAAACACGGGCCAAGGAGUAUAGCAUGUGUGCAAGUCUAAGAGUCUCACAAAACUCGAAGGCGAAGUGAAAGCAAGUAAGCGGCGGGUGAUCUACGGAGAGAUCCCGUCAGCUAGAGGGGCUCUCGGGCCUCUCCGGCUUUGGCAGAGUUGAUCCUGCAGUGGUACCGCACACGUACGCUCAGGCGCAAACUCCAGGCUCACGUUUCGCACUGGUUCUCGGACUGUGCUGUGAGCACUGUGGAGCAUGCAUGCUAUGACCCGAAAGAUAGUGAACUAUGCCUGGCGAGGGCGAAGCCCCAGGAAACUGGGGUGGAGGCCCGUAGCCGUUGUGACGUGCAAAUCCAUGGUAUCAGUUGGGCAUAGGGGCGAAAGACCAAUCGAACUAUCUAGUAGCU
This 1025-nucleotide ribosomal RNA is filed under the name Gammarus sp. JFF_12.13. RNAcentral describes it as "eukaryotic LSU rRNA". It matches the Rfam family "Eukaryotic large subunit ribosomal RNA", at positions 366 to 952 of the family's 3401-position model. Lineage: Eukaryota; Metazoa; Arthropoda; Malacostraca; Amphipoda; Gammaridae. The record is from RNAcentral.